CUUAGCUCAGUCGGUAGAGCGCACGGCUGUUAACCGUUAGGUCGUAGGUUCGAGUCCUACAGG
RNAcentral lists this transfer RNA (63 nucleotides) under bovine gut metagenome. It matches the Rfam family "tRNA", at positions 6 to 65 of the family's 71-position model. Rfam says of the family: Transfer RNA (tRNA) molecules are approximately 80 nucleotides in length. Their secondary structure includes four short double-helical elements and three loops (D, anti-codon, and T loops). Further hydrogen bonds mediate the characteristic L-shaped molecular structure. tRNAs have two regions of fundamental functional importance: the anti-codon, which is responsible for specific mRNA codon recognition, and the 3' end, to which the tRNAs corresponding amino acid is attached (by aminoacyl-tRNA synthetases). tRNAs cope with the degeneracy of the genetic code in two manners: having more than one tRNA (with a specific anti-codon) for a particular amino acid; and 'wobble' base-pairing, i.e. permitting non-standard base-pairing at the 3rd anti-codon position. The record is from RNAcentral.